Molecule: ribosomal RNA, 433 nt
Filed under: uncultured bacterium
Lineage: Bacteria
Description: partial 16S ribosomal RNA
Rfam family: Bacterial small subunit ribosomal RNA
Source: RNAcentral
AACGAACGUUGGCGGCAGGCCUAACACAUGCAAGUCGAGCGCGCCCUUCGGGGUGAGCGGCGGACGGGUGAGUAACGCGUGGGAACGUGCCCUUCUCUGCGGAAUAGCCUCGGGAAACUGAGAGUAAUACCGCAUACGCCCUUUGGGGGAAAGAUUUAUCGGAGAAGGAUCGGCCCGCGUUGGAUUAGGCAGUUGGUGGGGUAAUGGCCCACCAAGCCGACGAUCCAUAGCUGGUUUGAGAGGAUGAUCAGCCACACUGGGACUGAGACACGGCCCAGCCUCCUACGGGAGGCAGCAGUGGGGAAUCUUAGACAAUGGGGGCAACCCUGAUCUAGCCAUGCCGCGUGAGUGAUGAAGGCCUUAGGGUUGUAAAGCUCUUUCAGCUGGGAAGAUAAUGACGGUACCAGCAGAAGAAGCCCCGGCUAACUCCGUG